RNAcentral lists this ribosomal RNA (254 nucleotides) under uncultured bacterium. RNAcentral describes it as "partial 16S ribosomal RNA". It matches the Rfam family "Bacterial small subunit ribosomal RNA", at positions 524 to 776 of the family's 1533-position model. The record is from RNAcentral.
UACAGAGGGGGCAAGCGUUGUUCGGAAUUACUGGGCGUAAAGGGCGCGUAGGUGGCUUGCUAAGUCAGACGUGAAAUCCCUCAGCUUAACUGGGGAACUGCGUCUGAUACUGGCGAGCUUGAGUGCAGGAGAGGAACGCGGAAUUCCAGGUGUAGCGGUGAAAUGCGUAGAUAUCUGGAGGAACACCGGUGGCGAAGGCGGCAUCCUGGACCAACACUGACGCUGAGUGAGCGAAAGCCAGGGGAGCAAACGGG